Molecule: ribosomal RNA, 409 nt
Filed under: Fusobacteriota bacterium
Lineage: Bacteria; Fusobacteriati; Fusobacteriota
Description: Fusobacteria bacterium partial 16S ribosomal RNA
Rfam family: Bacterial small subunit ribosomal RNA
Source: RNAcentral
UGGGGAAUAUUGCACAAUGGAGGGAACUCUGAUGCAGCAACGCCGCGUGCGGGAUGACGGCCUUCGGGUUGUAAACCGCUUUCAGCCAUGACGAAGCUUUUGUGACGGUAGUGGUAGAAGAAGCACCGGCUAACUACGUGCCAGCAGCCGCGGUGAUACGUAGGGUGCGAGCGUUGUCCGGAAUUAUUGGGCGUAAAGAGCUUGUAGGCGGUUUGUCGCGUCGAUAGUGUAAACACGCAGCUUAGCUGUGUGCCUGCUGUCGAUACGGGCUGACUAGAGGAGGGUAGGGGAGAAUGGAAUUCCCGGUGGAGCGGUGGAAUGCGCAGAUAUCGGGAGGAACACCAGUGGCGAAGGCGGUUCUCUGGACCUUUCCUGACGCUGAGAAGCGAAAGCGUGGGUAGCAAACAGG